GAGUGGACCAACGGGAGUAACNNCGCCGCGUGGACAACCGUGCACCAUCCAGGGAGAUAACGCUUGGAAACGGGUGCUAAUACCCUCCAACUGUCGAAACCGCAUGGUAUCUAUUUGAAAGGCACUUUACCGCGCCGCUGAUGGAUGGACCCGCGGUGCUUUAUCUACUUGGUGACGAAACGGCUCACCACUGCCACGAUGCCUAGCCGACCUGAGAGGGUGAUCCGCCCCAUAGUCACUGAGACGCCGCCCAAGCUCCUACUGGAGGCAUCAGCAAGGAAUCUUCGCCAAUGCACCACAGUCUGACCGACCAACUCCGCGUGAGUGACCACUGUUUUCGGAUCGUAAACCUCUGUUGUUAUACAAGAACAAGGGUGACAGUAACUGUUCACCCCUUGACGGUAUCUAACCAGAAAGCCGCGGCUAACUACGUGCCUUCUGCCGCGGAAAUACGUAGGUGGCAAGCGUUCUCCGCAUUUAUUGGGCGUAAAGCCAGCGCAGGCGGUCUCUUAAGUCUGAUGUGAAAGCCCNCGGCUCAACCGGAGACGGUCAUUGCAAACUGGGAGACUUGAUUGCAGAAUAUGAGAGUGGAAUUCCAUGUGUAGCGCUGAANUGCGUAGAUAUAUGGAGGAACACCAGUGGCGAACAGCGGCUCUCUGCUCUGUAACUGACCCUGAGGCUCCAUACCGUGGGNAGCAAACACGAUUAGAUACCCUGGUACUCCACUCCCUACACCAUGAGUGCUAANUGUUGUAGGCCUUCCUGCCGUUCAGUGCUGCAGCUAACGCAUUAAACACUCCGCCUGGGGGAGUACGACCACCAGGUUGAAACUCAAAGUAAUUCACGGGGGCCCGCACAACCUUAGAAGCAUGUGGAUUAA
This 880-nucleotide ribosomal RNA is filed under the name Enterococcus mundtii. RNAcentral's name for it is "bacterial SSU rRNA". It matches the Rfam family "Bacterial small subunit ribosomal RNA", at positions 92 to 949 of the family's 1533-position model. The record is from RNAcentral. Lineage: Bacteria; Bacillati; Bacillota; Bacilli; Lactobacillales; Enterococcaceae.